Molecule: ribosomal RNA, 325 nt
Filed under: uncultured bacterium
Lineage: Bacteria
Description: bacterial SSU rRNA
Rfam family: Bacterial small subunit ribosomal RNA
Source: RNAcentral
GACUAACGCUGGCGGCGUGCCUAACACAUGCAAGUCGAACGAGAAAGCGGUAGCAAUACUGCGAGUAAAGUGGCGAACGGGUGAGUAACACGUAAACAAUCUGCCCCUAAGUGGGGGAAAACCUGGGGAAACUCGGGCUAAUCCCCCGUAAGGUGACGAAAACGCAUGUUUUUGUCAUUAUAGAUUUAUCGCUUAGGGAGGAGUUUGCGUCUGAUUAGCUAGAUGGCGGAGUAAUAGCCCACCAUGGCUAUGAUCAGUAGCUGGUCUGAGAGGAUGAUCAGCCACACUGGGACUGAGAUACGGCCCAGACUCCUACGGGUGGCUG